Molecule: ribosomal RNA, 257 nt
Filed under: uncultured Pseudomonas sp.
Lineage: Bacteria; Pseudomonadati; Pseudomonadota; Gammaproteobacteria; Pseudomonadales; Pseudomonadaceae
Description: partial 16S ribosomal RNA
Rfam family: Bacterial small subunit ribosomal RNA
Source: RNAcentral
CGGCGGACGGGUGAGUAAUGCCUAGGAAUCUGUCUGGUAGUGGGGGACAACGUUUCGAAAGGAACGCUAAUACCGCAUACGUCCUACGGGAGAAAGCAGGGGACCUUCGGGCCUUGCGCUAUCAGAUGAGCCUAGGUCGGAUUAGCUAGUUGGUGAGGUAAUGGCUCACCAAGGCGACGAUCCGUAACUGGUCUGAGAGGAUGAUCAGCCACACUGGAACUGAGACACGGUCCAGACUCCUACGGGAGGCAGCAGGG